This 253-nucleotide ribosomal RNA is filed under the name uncultured bacterium. Its description in RNAcentral is "partial 16S ribosomal RNA". It matches the Rfam family "Bacterial small subunit ribosomal RNA", at positions 524 to 776 of the family's 1533-position model. The record is from RNAcentral.
UACGUAGGGGGCAAGCGUUGUCCGGACUUAUUGGGCGUAAAGAGCGUGUAGGCGGCCAGGUAGGUCUGCUGUGAAAACUCGAGGCUUAACUGAGGAAGUGCACCCGAAACUGAGUAGCUAGAGUACUAAAGAGGGUCGCGGAAUUCCCGGUGUAGAGGUGAAAUUCGUAGAUAUGCGGAGGAACACCGAUGGCGAAGGCAAUCCCCUGGGCCUGCACUGACGCUCAUGCACGAAAGCGUGGGGAGCAAACAGG